AGAGUUUGAUCAUGGCUCAGAUUGAACGCUGGCGGCAUGCUUUACACAUGCAAGUCGAACGGCAGCACGGGUGCUUGCACCUGGUGGCGAGUGGCGAACGGGUGAGUAAUAUAUCGGAACGUACCCGGAAAUGGGGGAUAACGUAGCGAAAGUUACGCUAAUACCGCAUAUGCCCUGAGGGGGAAAGCGGGGGAUUCGUAAGAACCUCGCGUUUUCGGAGCGGCCGAUAUCGGAUUAGCUAGUAGGUGAGGUAAAGGCUCACCUAGGCGACGAUCCGUAGCUGGUCUGAGAGGACGACCAGCCACACUGGAACUGAGACACGGUCAGACUCCUAUGGGAGGCAGCAGUGGGGAAUUUUGGACAAUGGGCGCAAGCCUGAUCCAGCCAUGCCGCGUGAGUGAAGAAGGCCUUCGGGUUGUAAAGCUCUUUCAGCCGGAAAGAAAACACACAAGUUAAUACCCUGUGUGGAUGACGGUACCGGAAGAAGAAGCACCGGCUAACUACGUGCCAGCAGCCGCGGUAAUACGUAGGGUGCGAGCGUUAAUCGGAAUUACUGGGCGUAAAGCGUGCGCAGGCGGUUUUGUAAGACGGAUGUGAAAUCCCCGGGCUUAACCUGGGAACUGCAUUUGUGACUGCAAGGCUAGAGUACGGCAGAGGGGGGUAGAAUUCCACGUGUAGCAGUGAAAUGCGUAGAUAUG
This 698-nucleotide ribosomal RNA is filed under the name uncultured bacterium. Its description in RNAcentral is "bacterial SSU rRNA". It matches the Rfam family "Bacterial small subunit ribosomal RNA", at positions 8 to 698 of the family's 1533-position model. The record is from RNAcentral.